CGGGGGGAGCAAGCGUUGUUCGGAUUUACUGGGCGUAAAGGGCGCGUAGGCGGCGUAACAAGUCACUUGUGAAAUCUCCGGGCUUAACCCGGAGCGGCCAAGUGAUACUGUUGUGCUAGAGUGCGGAAGGGGCUACUGGAAUUCUCGGUGUAGCGGUGAAAUGCGUAGAUAUCGAGAGGAACACCUGCGGCGAAGGCGGGUAGCUGGGCCGACACUGACGCUGAGGCGCGAAAGCCAGGGGAGCGAACGGGAUUAGAUACCCCGGUAGUCCUGGCCUUAAACGAUGGAUGCUUGGUGUCCGAGGUUACAUAGUCCUCGGGUGCCGGCGCUAACGCAUUAAGCAUCCCGCCUGGGGAGUACGGUCGCAAGACUG
RNAcentral lists this ribosomal RNA (373 nucleotides) under uncultured organism. Its description in RNAcentral is "bacterial SSU rRNA". It matches the Rfam family "Bacterial small subunit ribosomal RNA", at positions 526 to 896 of the family's 1533-position model. The record is from RNAcentral.